GUAGGGAAUCUUCCACAAUGGACGAAAGUCUGAUGGAGCAACGCCGCGUGAGUGAAGAAGGUUUUCGGAUCGUAAAACUCUGUUGUCAGAGAAGAACGUGUGCGAGAGUAACUGUUCGUGCAGUGACGGUAUCUGGCCAGAAAGCCACGGCUAACUACGUGCCAGCAGCCGCGGUAAUACGUAGGUGGCAAGCGUUGUCCGGAUUUAUUGGGCGUAAAGGGAACGCAGGUGGUCUUUUAAGUCUGAUGUGAAAGCCGUCGGCUUAACCGAAGUGGUGCAAUGGAAACUGGGAGUCUUGAUUGCAGAAGAGGGGAGUGGAACUCCAUGUGUAGCGGUGAAAUGCGUAGAUAUAUUGAAGAACACCAGUGGCGAAAGCGGCUCUCUGGUCUGUAACUGACGCUGAGGUUCGAAAGCGUGGGUAGCAAACAGGAUUAGAAACCCCGGUAGUCC
Molecule: ribosomal RNA, 450 nt
Filed under: uncultured bacterium
Lineage: Bacteria
Description: partial 16S ribosomal RNA
Rfam family: Bacterial small subunit ribosomal RNA
Source: RNAcentral